AGCAGGAGGCACAGGUGGACACGGGGCUUCUCAGCGCCCUCUUUGUCCAAAGCGGGCGCCUCAGUCUUUGGCAGUCGUUGUUAUGUUCUCAUGAUGUGGAAAGCUGUGGAGUCAUUGCGUUGUGCCAGAAUCUUAAUCCAGUCUGCACCUAUGGCUGUGUUCAACGAUUCUCUGAUUAUGGCUCAAGUACUGGCAGUAGCUUGCAGAAAGCUGGCUGGUCACACCAUCCUGGAAUUCUUCUAAUAUAAUCAGCUAUGUCUAAACAUAAGCAGUGCCUACCGGCCCCAGUUACACAUUGCUGCCUAGCAAAAUGGUGCAUGCGGACAUAACUGAAGAGAGAACAUGAAGAAUCAAUAACGUCAGAGUAUCUUGCUCAGAAGGCCAAAUGGAAAAGCAAUGUUGCCCAGCCUGCUUUACAGCUGCAAAGAGCACAACACAUAUGGAAGAGAGCAUUUCCCUAAGUGGAAAACCAGUGAUAAGCUAAGCAGCUCACGCCGAGCCCUGUGUCCAGUAGCAGCCGUGAAGGCCCAUUGCUCUGGAGGAGCAGCAGCUUCGAGGAGCCAUCAUUGCCACCUGCUGCAGAAGCUCCUGCUCUACAGCCCAAACUGAUUUCCAGCUCUUCCUCCGCAGGCCUGACACACGGGGAGCCUGCCCUCUGCUCCUCCUGCGCUGCAGCCCGCUGCUUGCAAGCGGCCUUUCAGGCACAUCCACGUCCCUUGCCACAAGCUCAGCGCAGCAGAUACCCUCCUCCGAAGCCUCGCUUCAGUUCUAACCGCAAACCGAACUGAAGUGAGAUGUGUGUCAACUCUGCGUGAUGAGCACAGUAUGCAACAGGAAGUUUAAAGCAAAAAACCUAAAACAUAGUCCUCGCUGACCUUAGAGGACGAAUAGCUCAUUCCAGCAAAUGUGGUUAACUACCACACGUCGCACGAAGUCAUUAAUCUAGUCUACCGAGGGAACAUUUCUCUCUCACACAGAGUGACCAAUCCCUACAAAAAGCUUCCCCCAUGGGAAAAGCUCUGCAGCAGAAAAAACCUGAAAGGGCAAUAGGCUCAACCACAGCACCAUCACAGCAACAGGUUUCUUUAAUACUUAUGCUUUCCAGUUGACCUGUAGAAGAGGGGAAGAAGGGAGGGGAAGAAGAGGGCAGGGAUUUCUGUUUCUGCUUUGGCUGUUUUACUUCAGCUUCCACACCCAUCUCAUCUCAGAAAUGUCCUCCUUCCUCUUGAACCUUAAAGCUUGAUGUUCCUGUCGUCCUAGCAAAGUUCCACGCUGUCAGCCGUCAACACCAAAUCUAAGCGUUUUACAUGCCAAAAACCAGAAAGACUGGAAUGAACCCCUUUAGCAGACUAUAAAACCCCUCUCUCCUCUUUUUCGCUGGAAUUCUCCUCAGAACGAUCAAAGAGCAGUAGCUCUCUCCACCUUUAAAACAUCAGUAGCGUUGAAACUUUAACAAAGAGGAUGCCUACGCUGCAGCCCGCGGGGUAGGCAGAGCCAGGUGACCCACCUAAGGCUCGUGUGCUCGAAGCACUCGUGCCGCAGCAAUGCUCAACGCAGCCUCGGACAGCUCGGUUCGUUGAAAAUUAACCUGCACUGAGCUCCGGUCACUGAGGACAGACUGCUUCCAGCAUCUAAGCCAGGCAUCUUAAAAGUAGGCUUAGCUUUUCUAAGCUGCACUGCAGACUGCAGUGCAGUCUCCAUUGUAAACAUACCCCAAGUCUUUCCACUCAAAAUUUUAAUUUGGCCAUGAGAAAAAAAAUAGUUUUAACCAAAGCAAAGUACAGAAAGUCCAAGUAACAAGGCACAUGCCAGGGAUUACAAUUCCUGUAAUAUCUCCGUAAGCCUUUUGUUCUCUUGUAUCCCGGGCUCCUCAGCCAUGCCUUCUGGGUGCUGCAGUUUAAAACAGGCUAAUUUAAGUCUUACCAAAGUCACUGAGAACCUGUCUACUGAUUUUAUAGAAGCUAAAUUCGGCAUUUUUACUACUACUGUCAUGUAAAUAAGGAUACAAGAAGAUCA
Non-coding RNA from Struthio camelus australis, 2016 nucleotides. NCBI's taxonomy places the organism in Eukaryota, Metazoa, Chordata, Aves, Struthioniformes, Struthionidae. The record is from RefSeq and is a predicted model, not a curated record.